GCCAACUACGUGCCGGCAACGGCGGUAAUGCGGAGGGUGCAAUCGUUAAUCGGAAUUACUGGGCGUAAAGCGCACGCAUGCUGUUGGAUAAGUUAGAUGUGAAAGCCCCGGGCUCAAGCUGGGAAUUGCAUUUAAAACUGUCCAGCUAGAGUCUUGUAGAGGGGGGUAGAAUUCCAGGUGUAGCGGUGAAAUGCGUAGAGAUCUGGAGGAAUACCGGUGGCGAAGGCGGCCCCCUGGACAAAGACUGACGCUCAGGUGCGAAAGCGUGGGGAGCAAACAGGAUUAGAUACCCGAGUAGUC
RNAcentral lists this ribosomal RNA (300 nucleotides) under uncultured Paracoccus sp. RNAcentral describes it as "bacterial SSU rRNA". It matches the Rfam family "Bacterial small subunit ribosomal RNA", at positions 496 to 795 of the family's 1533-position model. The record is from RNAcentral. Lineage: Bacteria; Pseudomonadati; Pseudomonadota; Alphaproteobacteria; Rhodobacterales; Paracoccaceae.